CGGGACGGGUGAGUAAUGUCUGGGAAACGUGCCUGAUGAGGGGGAGUAACUACUGGAAACGGUAGCUAAUACCGCAUAACGUCGCAAGACCAAAGAGGGGGACCUUCGGGCCUCUUGCCAUCGGAUGUGCCCAGAUGGGAUUAGCUAGUAGGUGGGGUAACGGCUCACCUAGGCGACGAUCCCUAGCUGGUCUGAGAGGAUGACCAGCCACACUGGAACUGAGACACGGUCCAG
RNAcentral lists this ribosomal RNA (234 nucleotides) under uncultured bacterium. RNAcentral's name for it is "partial 16S ribosomal RNA". It matches the Rfam family "Bacterial small subunit ribosomal RNA", at positions 100 to 334 of the family's 1533-position model. The record is from RNAcentral.